CCUACGGGAGGCAGCAGUGAGGAAUAUUGGUCAAUGGGCGCAAGCCUGAACCAGCCAAGUAGCGUGAAGGAUGACUGCCCUACGGGUUGUAAACUUCUUUUAUAUGGGAAUAAAGUGGGGCACGUGUGCCGCUUUGCAUGUACUUUAUGAAUAAAGAUCGGCUAACUUCGUGCCCGCAGCCGCGGUAAUACGGAGGAUCCGAGCGUUAUCCGGAUUUAUUGGGUUUAAAGGGAGCGUAGGCGGGUGGUUAAGUCAGUGGUGAAAGUUUGCGGCUCAACCGUAGAAUUGCAGUUGAUACUGGAAGCCUUGAGUGCACUGGAGGAAGGCGGAAUUCGUGGUGUAGCGGUGAAAUGCUUAGAUAUCACGAAGAACCCCGAUUGCGAAGGCAGCUUUCCGGACUGCAACUGACGCUGAUGCUCGAAAGUGUGGGUAUCAAACAGGAUUAGAUACCCCUGUAGUC
This 460-nucleotide ribosomal RNA is filed under the name uncultured bacterium. Its description in RNAcentral is "partial 16S ribosomal RNA". It matches the Rfam family "Bacterial small subunit ribosomal RNA", at positions 338 to 795 of the family's 1533-position model. The record is from RNAcentral.